GACAGCAGGUGUCAGCGCCGGGGGAGCCCGACCAGCGCCCCGGAGCCCAGCCCUCAGCACCACCCCGAGCCCGGCCACCCUGAGGUGGAGUGGAGUUUGCAGAACGCCUCUUGCUGCAGCCGGAGACUUACUGAAGCCGGGCCUCGCGGUGUGACAUUCCCGCUGGAAGAAAUGAAUUCUCUUAAGUUCUAAGAUCUUAGUCCAUCGAAGACCAUUCCGGAGUGUGGAUCGUUUACGUGAGGAUGUGAGUCCUAAGUCAUGAAAGACUUCACCUUCCCUUAAAAGCCGCCAUAAGAGAAAAGUCCGAUGACUACUUACUCCAAGUCCAGAAAAUGGGAGCGAUCUGGCUUCUGAGGGCAAUGCUAUGCUGAAGCCGGAGAAGGCAGGAAGCUAAAAAUCGUUAUUUGUCAAAAACUCAGUCUCGACAUGGUUUAUGGUCACCGACGAUUUGCCCUAUUUAUAGGGCUGUAUUUAGAAGUAAGCUAAUCUCGCAAGAUCAGCUUAAACAACACAACAGAAAAGGGGUGUCUGGGUGCUCAUUUCAUCUGCUCUCCAAAUGAGGUGACUAAUACCUUCAAGCGAGCAAGAUUAUUCCUGCACAGAAGCGCACGUCACAUGCCCCAGGACACGAUCACCUGAAAUGAAAAUCCUUUCAUGCAACCGCGUGCGUCACCUGUCAUUGACAUGGGUUCCGAAGGAAAGUGGCAAAGUGCCCGCGUCAAGAGGGAAGAGAGGUUAUCGAGCCUUACCACCAGCCAUGUGUUGCCAUCUCUGAUGUCGCAGCUAACCUCCUCGUUGUAAACAUCAUCCAGCGUGAGGCAGCAGCUCAUCACAAAGAUAGUGACUUUAUCCAAAAUUGGACACAUAAAUGAACACUGUCACCAGAACUCCUCCAGGAGUGAGGUUCAGGUGUGUGUGUUAAAAACUACCAGAACUCAGAAACCCAGCUGACAUCGGCUUCGUGCUCUCUGCAGAAACAGUUGCGUUCAGUAAAUUCAGUGUGAGACGGAAUCUGUUUCUACUUGUACGUUAGAAAUAGAAGGUAUUUUGGGGAAGAGCAUAAUGCUCAACUCCCUUCUUUUUAAAUUUUAUUUUAAAUGAAUUAAAAUAUUUUAAGAUAUUUAUCAGACACAACAGCAUGCCUGGGGCACCGCUGAGGGGGAGUCCGCCUUGCUCAGGCGCUGACCACACCCGAGCCCGGCUUUGGGAUCCCAGGCCAGGGUAGAUUUCCUUGGCGUGCAAGAGUCCACCUGGAGCCUUCAGAGAUCAACUUUUAAUUCCUUCCUUCCACUACUUGCGGCGUGGUGACGGUGGACCUUCUUCUCACGCCCCCUCCUGCUUCUCCAUUGAUGAGACGCUGCUGCCCACGUCGCCUCACCCGGAGAAUAAACUGGUAAGAUACAGCAAAGGUUCUUUUGAACGGUAAAACAUUUAAAAAUGAAUUUGGAGUAUUCAUAUAGUCUAAUGUUGCUGAAUGUGGAAUUUCAUGAGGAGUUUUUGUGGAGCACUCUUGUGGGUAAGGCAGGGCGUUUCAUCGCUGCGGCCACGCCGUGUUCGUCCUCAAGGAUGGCAGGAGGAGACUGAGCUUCGCCUCGGACCGUUGUUCCGUAAAAGGACGAAUCCCCUUUCUUUAUUUCCUAGUCCUCUUUCAAAAAGCACUACUCGCAAAUUGAGUUUUUUUAAGGCUAAAGAAAAAAAAUCCUAAUGGAAAAGUAAAACCUCAACUUCUUGGCCUGAAACCAUGUAACGCUGUCUCGCGGACGGGAGGCGAGCGAGAGGGGGAAAUGUGAGGAGCCCUUAAUACCAUAAGCUCCUCUCGCUGGGAUGUGGCGGUAAUUGCUUUUUAUUUUUUUGUAACAUCUCCUGGAAAUGGUAAUGCUUUCAAGUGAGGAUCAAAGAGAAUGACCCAGGUAAGAAAUAGAUGCAACAUGUAGUUACAUUUCUCAUCCGUCGCCAUGUGCUUCUUGCGGCCACACUUCUAAUCAGAAACACGGCAUAAUGCCCAUCAUUUUGCAAAAUGAGUUGUCACUAAGGUCAGAUGGGAUACUUGGAAACCAGCAAAAAAAUAUGAUUUUGACCGAGGUGUGAAAGGCGAUAGAUGGCUUUCUCGACAG
This is a long non-coding RNA of Talpa occidentalis (Iberian mole), 2114 nucleotides long. RefSeq lists it as uncharacterized. NCBI's taxonomy places the organism in Eukaryota, Metazoa, Chordata, Mammalia, Eulipotyphla, Talpidae. The record is from RefSeq and is a predicted model, not a curated record. The transcript has 6 exons.